GGCGUAGGCGGCGUGACAAGUCACUUGUGAAAUCUCCGGGCUUAACUCGGAACGGCCAAGUGAAACUGUCAUGCUAGAGUGCAGAAGGGGCAAUCGGAAUUCUUGGUGUAGCGGUGAAAUGCGUAGAUAUCAAGAGGAACACCUGAGGUGAAGACGGGUUGCUGGGCUGACACUGACGCUGAGGCGCGAAAGCCAGGGAGCAAACG
Molecule: ribosomal RNA, 206 nt
Filed under: uncultured bacterium
Lineage: Bacteria
Description: partial 16S ribosomal RNA
Rfam family: Bacterial small subunit ribosomal RNA
Source: RNAcentral